GACAGAGGGGGCAAGCGUUGCUCGGAAUUACUGGGCGUAAAGGGCGCGUAGGCGGGAUGGCAAGUCGGUCGUGAAAUCCUUCGGCUCAACCGAAGAACGUCGAUCGAUACUGCUGUUCUAGAGGAUUGCAGAGGAGACUGAAAUUCCCGGUGUAGCGGUGAAAUGUGUAGAGAUCGGGAGGAACACCGGUGGCGAAGGCGGGUCUCUGGGCAAUUCCUGACGCUGAGGCGCGAAAGCGUGGGGAGCAAACGGG
This 253-nucleotide ribosomal RNA is filed under the name uncultured bacterium. RNAcentral's name for it is "partial 16S ribosomal RNA". It matches the Rfam family "Bacterial small subunit ribosomal RNA", at positions 524 to 776 of the family's 1533-position model. The record is from RNAcentral.